RNAcentral lists this transfer RNA (95 nucleotides) under Fusobacterium perfoetens. RNAcentral's name for it is "tRNA-Ser". It matches the Rfam family "tRNA". Rfam says of the family: Transfer RNA (tRNA) molecules are approximately 80 nucleotides in length. Their secondary structure includes four short double-helical elements and three loops (D, anti-codon, and T loops). RNAcentral also lists the same sequence under 1 other name. Lineage: Bacteria; Fusobacteriati; Fusobacteriota; Fusobacteriia; Fusobacteriales; Fusobacteriaceae. The record is from RNAcentral.
GGUGAAGUGGCAGAGCUGGCCGAAUGCGCUCCCCUGCUAAGGGAGUGUACCAAUUAAAAAUGGUACCGAGAGUUCAAAUCUCUCCUUCACCGCCA